GUGCAGCAGGCGCGAAAACUCCGCAAUGCCCGAAAGGGUGACGGGGGGAUUCCAAGUGCCUACGCUUAGCGUAGGCUGUUCAGGUGCCUAAAAAAGCACCUGGAGGAAGGGCUGGGUAAGACGGGUGCCAUCUGUGGCAGCAGCCAAGAUUUGGCUUGCUACUGCAAGGCAUAAGCCGCCGCGGUAAUACCCGCAGCCCGAGUGGUAGUCGCUUUUAUUGGGCCUAAAGCGUCCGUAGCCGGUCUGGUAAAUGCCUGGGUAAAUCGUGGGGCUUAACCUCACGAAUUCCGGGUAGACUGCCAGACUUGGGACCGGUUGAGGGAGAGGGUACUCCGAGGGGUAGGGGUGAAAUCAGCAAGGUAAGCUGAUGUAACUUGCCUUGCAAGUCACAAUCCU
This 396-nucleotide ribosomal RNA is filed under the name uncultured microorganism. RNAcentral's name for it is "bacterial SSU rRNA". It matches the Rfam family "Archaeal small subunit ribosomal RNA", at positions 330 to 641 of the family's 1478-position model. The record is from RNAcentral.